Molecule: long non-coding RNA, 2471 nt
Organism: Equus caballus (horse)
Lineage: Eukaryota; Metazoa; Chordata; Mammalia; Perissodactyla; Equidae
Source: Ensembl
AAAUUUAUGCAUUAAUUUACAACACAAGGAGGACAGGAAUAGUUAGUAAACAGCAAUCUUAACUACCAGACGACAUAUUUACAAAGUCCUACAAUUUAAAAACUAAAAGAUCUCACACUCCUAAUUCUUUCUUUUCAAGGUGAGAAAUCAAACCUCCAGAGGGAAACUGGCUGGGUGGGAAUGAUACUGAUACCCGGCGCUAAACUCAAGUCGCAGCAUCAAGCAUCUCUCAUUUCCCCAAAUUAUAAACUUCUCACCCAUCCAAACAAUGAUAUGGCCAUUUAAAGGACUAAUAGUUCUCUAACCACCAACCAUGCCCUGUCCCCUCCACUUUCUCUCCAACAUCCUUCUGCCCCUUCUCUUCCUACCAGGAGACAUGCAGGUAACAGAAGCACGAUUAGAAUGAAACUCUUAUCAGCUCCCACAAUCAAGGACGCAGCCUGACAACUGCUCACGUUCAUUACUGAUGGCAACGUUGCGGUUCGCACUUAAUCGCCGGGCCAUUACACCCGGAAAUGAAAUCUCAAGCGCAACGCACUUCGGACCCCCUUAUCAUUUCCCUAAAUUGCGCCCGACUGCGUGUGCGGGGGGCACGACCCCGAGCGCACAGCGGACCCCCGGGCAGGAUUACCCCACCUCCCGCCUCGGGCCUGCAGGUCACUCGCGCUUCUUGGCCACGAGGCGGGCCCGCGAUCCUCCCCGGGCCGCCGCAGCGGGCGCUCGGCGGGACGCGAGGGCGGCACCGGGGCCAGCCGCCUCCGGGGACCGCGUCCGGACGCGAGGGUCGGUCUCUAGAAGGAGCCCGGGCGGCCCCACGCGUCCCCAGUGCCUCCUGCAGACUCCCUUCUCCACACUGAUGUGUUGAAGUGCACUGAGUUGAAAUCCAAGCAGGAAUUUGGCUGUCCCCCUCCAGCCAUGGCGGUGCACACACAUCCUCAGCAGAGCUAAAUCGCUGUCCUCGUCCAGGAUGGUCUUCCAUGGAUAAAUCAGCCGCUGUGUGACUUCCGGUGGGUGCUGUGCCGCCAUCUUGGCCCACCUGACUUCAGCACAUAAUGUGGGGGAGAGCAGCUUUCAGCAUCUCCAGUUAUAAAAUGUACCAAAUAUUGACAUAAUUACACAGAAAUAAAUAUAGGGUGCUCAAUGAAAAGCUAAGUCCUGGAGAAACUUACAAGGCAAGUGAAAAUAAUCUGACCCUUCAAGUCUUUGCCCUCCUCCAUACACAGACACAGACUGGCAAUUCACAAGUAAAUGCAAGGUUUUCAACAUCCAGCAGUUGGAGUAAUGAAAAAAAAAGCCAGAAGUAAAACACUAUACAGUGCCUUUCCUUGUCCUUUUUUAAACUCAAAAGAGGCCCAAGCAACAACAUUCUCCUUCUGAGUUGAAACCAACAGAGGCCGAGGCUGCCGCGGGACAGUGCUCCUUUCAUGAACUGAGUGAAGACUGGGCUUAUUCAUAGAAGUCGCUGGACAGGUAGACCACACCCUCUCUGGGCUGCUGCUUGUGAACCCGUGGCUAGGCUGGGCCUGGGUGGGAUCACUGACCUCCAGAGGGCAAUAUGGGGUCUGCUUCUGAAGCGGCCUUCCUCUGUGGGAGCACGCUGAGGAGGAAGCUUCAAUGUCAAGUAUGAUCUGUCGCUCUGGAGAGUCAGGCUGUCAGCUCGCCUUUCCUGAGCUGCUGCCGCGUGCCGGGCCUGGGAACAAUACAGGGCAGUCAUGUGGGGAGACAGACACGUACACCCGGAAUCACAAGACGGGCUUUUCAUGCCGCUCGCUCACGUGACGAACACCCACCUCCCCGCGUUUGUGGCAGUUCUACAAUUCCAGUAGAGGAGAGUUUUAGGGGAGCCCAUCUGGUUGGAAGGCGUAGCCAUGGAACUGGAUGGAGCAGUUUCUUCUUAGAUCGUACACUGCACGGUAAUAAAUAUAGCAAAGUUUUCCAAAGAUGCUUUUAUUCAUGUACGUAAGGUUGAAAAAAUGUUGGUUUUCCAUAUUGCAUAUUUCACCCAGUUUAAAAAUCUUUUCUUUAUUUUAUUAUUACAGGGGGAGGUAGGGGAAGCACUGGUGGAGAUUGUAGGAGGCAUCUAAAGACCCCCAAACCCCCUCUUGGGCUGCCUCUAGCCGGGCCUUGCAUUAGGCACAAAAGGAUGGCACCCAACACUGUCCCCAUGGUGGAGGAGGUUACAGUGUUGUGGCGAGUCACUGUGCAAAUAAAAAAGGCAAUACAGGGUAACGAGCGCUGCUCAUUAAUCGUUUACUGGAUGAUUCUUUCAUUGUUUAUUGAGUACUUACUGGAACCAGCUACAGUGCUGGGCCCUGAGGGUACAAGAGUCCUCGUUCCUUGAACUCAUAAGGCAGGGAGAUCCUAGGAGUAGAGUUGCCUGAUAAAAUACAGAUACUCACUUAAAUUUGAAUUUCAGAUAAACAAGGCACAAUUUUUUAGUAUAAGGAUGUCUCAUGCAAUAUGUUGAUUUG